UUUAGGGUUUUGAAAAAUUAUUUCUGGCGGCAUUUUCACCGCGCAACCGGAGUUUAAGCCUGAAAAGGGCUCCCGUAGGAUAUUUUUUUUUUUUUUUUCCUGUUGACUCGGCUAAGCUUCUUGCUGGGGUAAUGGGCAGGCACAGAAGUCCCUGCGUGCGUGUGCUGGUGUGUACAGUGCUCAGCAGAGUCCUGAGCUGCAGAACUCUCGUCCUUGGAAGAUAACUGUGUGGCACAAUAAAUGGGUGGGAAGGGACCCAUUUCUGCUUCCAACCCCCUGCUUACAAACAUUUAAGUAAAUGUGCACCACAUGCUGCAAUUUGUUUGGAUAUCUCUCCUGUGUUUUCACAUUCUGUAUCCAGUGGGAUAACACUCUCCAGCAUCUUAAGAAACAGACUACUGCAGGACUUGAAGAUGAAUGAACACUGGCUGUGUCUUCUGCAUUUGAUGGUGACAGGAUCUUCUGGUUAAGGGACCACAGUCCCCAUAUGAGAAUAUUGGUG
Melospiza melodia melodia is the source of this 502-nucleotide long non-coding RNA. RefSeq lists it as uncharacterized. The transcript is spliced from 3 exons. The record is from RefSeq and is a predicted model, not a curated record. Lineage: Eukaryota; Metazoa; Chordata; Aves; Passeriformes; Passerellidae.